UAUAGGGUGCCUGAUUAAAAGGAUAAUUUUGAUAGAAUUAAAUAUGUGUUUUACACCCCUGUAA
This 64-nucleotide transfer RNA is filed under the name Apteropeda orbiculata. RNAcentral describes it as "tRNA-Ile". RNAcentral also lists the same sequence under 1 other name. Lineage: Eukaryota; Metazoa; Arthropoda; Insecta; Coleoptera; Chrysomelidae. The record is from RNAcentral.